AAAAUCCGGGCUAUCGUUAACUCCGAGAGGCGAGUACGAGAGGCUUAGCCUCGCAAAGUGAUUGAGCCCAUGCUCCCAAGAAAAACCUCUAGUGAGUUCUGUGGGUGACCGUACCGGAAACCGACGCAGGUGGGUGGGGUGAGCAACCCGAGGCGCUUGAGAGAACCGUCGUUAAGGAACUCGGCAAAAUAACCCCGUAACUUCGGGAGAAGGGGUGCCUCAUUAAGUUGAAAGGGCUUGCCCCUGGAGGCUGAAGAGGCCGCAGAGAAAUGGCUCAAGCGACUGUUUACUUAAAACACAGGACUCUGCUAACGCGCAAGCGGAUGUAUAGGGUCUGACGCCUGCCCGGUGCUGGAAGGUUAAGGGGAGGGGUUAGUGGCGGUAACGCUGUGAAGCUCUGAACUGAAGCCCCAGUAAACGGCGGCCGUAACUAUAACGGUCCUAAGGUAGCGAAAUUCCUUGUCGGGUAAGUUCCGACCUGCAUGAAUGGCGUAACGACUUGAGCGCUCUCUCAACGACGGACUCAGUGAAAUUGUAGUGCCAGUGAAAAUGCUGGCUACCCACGACGGGACGGAAAGACCCCGUGCAGCUUUACUAUAACCUGUCAUUGGAGUUUGAUGUUGGAUGUGUAGGAUAGGUGGGAGGCUAUGAAGCGGGAGCGCUAGCUCUCGUGGAGCCACCGUUGAAAUACCACCCUUCUUUCAUUGGGCUUCUAACCUCAGACCGUUAUCCGGUUGGGGAACAGUGAUAGGCGGGUAGUUUGACUGGGGCGGUCGCCUCCUAAAAUGUAACGGAGGCGCCCAAAGGUCCCCUCAGGCUGGAUGGAAACCAGUCAUCGAGUGCAAAGGCAUAAGGGGGCUUGACUGCGAGAGGGACACCUCGAGCAGGUGCGAAAGCAGGGCUUAGUGAUCCGGCGGUGCCACGUGGAAGGGCCGUCGCUCAACGGAUAAAAGCUACGCCGGGGAUCACAGGCUGAUCCCCCCCAAGAGUUCACAUCGACGGGGAGGUUUGGCACCUCGAUGUCGGCUCGUCGCAUCCUGGGGCUGAAGAAGGUCCCAAGGGUUGGGCUGUUCGCCCAUUAAAGCGGUCCGCGAGCUGGGUUUAGAACGUCGUGAGACAGUUCGGUCCCUAUCUGUCGUGGGCGUAGGAGACUUGAGGGAAGCUGUCCCCAGUACGAGAGGACCGGGAUGGACGCACCUCUGGUGUAUGAGUUGUCGCGCCAGCGGCAUCGCUCGGUAGCCAUGUGCGGAAGGGAUAACCGCUGAAAGCAUCUAAGCGGGAAGCCCCCCCCGAGAUGAGGUCUCCCUGAAGGCCCCUCGUAGACUACGAGGUUGAUAGGCGGGAGGUGUAAGCACAGUAAUGUGUUCAGCUGACCCGUACUAAUCGGCCGUUCGGCUUGACC
This 1402-nucleotide ribosomal RNA is filed under the name metagenome. RNAcentral describes it as "bacterial LSU rRNA". It matches the Rfam family "Bacterial large subunit ribosomal RNA", at positions 1537 to 2925 of the family's 2925-position model. The record is from RNAcentral.